This is a long non-coding RNA of Chelonia mydas (Green sea turtle), 2800 nucleotides long. RefSeq lists it as uncharacterized. The transcript has 3 exons. The record is from RefSeq and is a predicted model, not a curated record. NCBI's taxonomy places the organism in Eukaryota, Metazoa, Chordata, Testudines, Cheloniidae.
GGGUCUGUGUGUCUGUUGGUAUGCUGCUUUUGCCGGGGAUAGAACAGGAAUGGAGUCUUAGAACUUUUAGAAAUUCCUAACAGUUUUGCAAACGUUUCCCAACCAGCUCUACUGGCCCCAGACAGACCCACCCUGGCUGUGUUUACAACCAAAAUAUGGCAACUUUGCAUGAGAGUGGAGGAAGCAGUUGUUGGAGCUGGCAAAGGAAAGCUGUGGAAGGAAGUGCAGUGGAAGUACUAGGAACCUUUAAUCUGAGCUGUUCCUAAGCACCAUGUUAGCACAAUGUUGGUGCUGGAGGACUGAGAAUUCAAGGAAGCACGCAGUAAUUUGUAGGCCAGUAGGCACUCCUUGGGAUGAUCUAGCCCUGCAGGCAUCUCAGGCCCAUUUAAGGAACUCUAUGAAUACUGUUUGGUUUCUUUGAAGGAGAAUUACCAUAUUUCUAGUUAACUGUUCUAUUCUGAUUCUAAGAGAACCAAGUGAUGGUUAUGAUAUUGCAAUCCACCAAAUUCAGAUCGCAUUGCAAAUCUAAUUUUUCUCUAACGUUUGAGGGGAUUCAAAACCAAAGUUUCUCUUCUAUCAGAUGAGGGCUUUGAAAGGUAGAGACAAAUCCAAACUUCACAGCUUGGACCUAGAUCCAAUUUUUUCCAGAGCUCACAGAGGUUCAGAUCUACUGUUUUAGAUCAGGCUCAUUUCUCAAUGCAAGGCAAAGCACUGAUUGGGCUGGAUGCUGCUUUUGUUUACACCAAUAUAAAUCAAGAGUGGCUCCACAGAUGCUCUUGUACCUAGUCCGGUGUAAAAGUGGUAUAACAGAGAGCAGAAUCAGGUGUUCUGUAUCUUUAUCUCAAUGCUAUUUAAAUCAAGCCAAAUUCAUCCCACCUCCAUUGGCUUCAGGGAUUAAUCUGACCCCAUAUUCUUAUACUACAUAACAUGAUUUGUUCAGUAACAGUUUUUAAUUUAGGCAAUAUCCGAAACACUUGUACAUGUUUAAGAGCCAGAUCAUCAGCUUGUGUAAAGCAACAUAGCUCCAUUGACUUCAAUGAGGAUCUGUCCCUACACAUUUCAUUGCCUGUUAGAGAUAUUAAUUCUUUUACCUGUAAGACAGGGAAUUUGGAGAGUAUAUCAGGCUUACACUCUUCUGCCAUUAGAAUGGUUUCAAGCAGCUGUACAUCUGCCCUGGUGAAUCGGUUGCCAACAAGAAAAUCCUGUCCAUGGUCUUUCAAAGCCUACAGGACAGGAGACAAUGAAUUUAUGCAUAUAAAUGAGACAUUCUGUGCUCUGGAUAAAUACAUAAAGUUAAGCCUAAUCUGACAUUUCAAAAUCACAUCUAGGUCUGUGUAAGAGUUACCCUUGAAAGGAAGCAAUACAAAAUACAGCAUUGUUUGAACAAUUAGAAAACUCAAUUUCACCAUUGUGGUAGGCCUUAUUCAAACUAAUACAGCUGUGGGUGUGACAGGAAGGUAUGGUCUCUGAUAGUAGGAGUUUUUUUAAAUCUGUAGCUCUUAUGAUCACAGCUGAAAUGGGCUGGGCAUGGGGAUUUACUAGUCUCUUUCUAUGGUCCUCCUCAAUGCAAGAGUGACCAGGCUCAGAAACCAUUUGAAAUAAGUGACCUUAAGCAAUUCCAGCUAAUAGUUUUACUGACAGUGCAGACAAAGCAUAAUCCUUAAAAAAAAAAAAAAAAACCCACAAACAUUUUAUAGACCAGGUGGGAAGACACAUUCUUUUAACAGUUAAUAAUAAUAAUACUGUAUAGUGUGCCAUAGGUGUGCACAGGUGCCAACUGAAUAUUGAUCUUAAAAUGUUUGCACAAGGCAGUUUCCAAACACUAUCAAUGGUGCGGUGCAGACAAGGCACAUCUGAUGGAGCCUCCUGAGACUCCGUGCAACACGAUAGUUAUUCCAAAUAGCUGUAGGGGGUUCACAAGAAACUUAGAGAAUCCCAAGCCACUACGACUUUCUCAGGUCAGUGAACAGUAGAAUAUAUUGGACACCUUCACCUAUUCCUGCACAUUUCGCACCCUUCUCUCCUUCCUCCCCAGUAAGGGGUGAAUUUGGUGUUGGGCUUCAAGAACAGACCUGGCAUUGGAUAACUAUGUAAAGCUUCCAACUAGCACUUGGCUCCCCACACUGGGUGUGCUACAAGCAGAACUGUAAUGUACUUUAUAUAGCACGUACAUUGUACAGACAGCACCAUGUGCCAAGAAUACCUCAGGAAGACACCUAGCACAGAAGAGAUGCUGAUGCUACCUUGGCAUCUAACAAAGUCUCUCUUAAAGGGGUUUACUAAAAGAUGUCACUGGAAAUUUGGAGUACAAAAAUUAUCCUGGCUCUUGUGCAGCUUUGCCAUUAUGAGGCUAAGAAAAUUCCAUCAAGCAAGCUCAUAAAUUUAUACUUGCCUUAAAUAGUUCUUCCAUGGGCACUCUAAAUAUAUCUGUUCUCAUACAAUACAGGCUGAAUGUGCAUUUACUAGCAUAGAUCCAGGAAAUAUUAUCAAGUGACCAAUACUUCAAUGGGUGUAAAUUGUUGCCUUGCUGUCACAUACCUUUUCGUAUACAGGGAAGUACCUGGUUGUGGCCUUCUCAAUGAUUGAGGCAAGAUGCUUUGCCUUUGCCUCCGGUGGCUGGAGAGGAUGAUGCAUAAUAAUUUCAUUCAGAUCCAUUGUUGCUUCCACAUACAUAUCAAUCCUGAAAGGCAAAGUGUGUUCACAUUGGUUUGAAUAACUAGUAUUCAUAUAGAUUCCAGCAGUGAAAUAACUCCAGGGUCAGGAGGCUUACCACUGACCAAUUUGUAUUUGCUGUUUAAAA